RNAcentral lists this ribosomal RNA (430 nucleotides) under Acidobacteriota bacterium. RNAcentral describes it as "Acidobacteria bacterium partial 16S ribosomal RNA". It matches the Rfam family "Bacterial small subunit ribosomal RNA", at positions 355 to 776 of the family's 1533-position model. Lineage: Bacteria; Pseudomonadati; Acidobacteriota. The record is from RNAcentral.
UGGGGAAUAUUGGACAAUGGGCGCAAGCCUGAUCCAGCCAUGCCGCGUGUGUGAAGAAGGCCUUUUGGUUGUAAAGCACUUUAAGCGAGGAGGAGGCUACUUGGAUUAAUACUCUAGGAUAGUGGACGUUACUCGCAGAAUAAGCACCGGCUAACUCUGUGCCAGCAGCCGCGGUAAUACAGAGGGUGCGAGCGUUAAUCGGAUUUACUGGGCGUAAAGCGUGCGUAGGCGGCUUCUUAAGUCGGAUGUGAAAUACCUGAGCUUAACUUAGGAAUUGCAUUCGAUACUGGGAAGCUAGAGUAUGGGAGAGGAUGGUAGAAUUCCAGGUGUAGCGGUGAAAUGCGUAGAGAUCUGGAGGAAUACCGAUGGCGAAGGCAGACAUCUGGACUAAUACUGACGCUGAGGUACGAAAGCAUGGGGAGCAAACAGG